UGUCUCGAAGUAGCAUUAGGAAAUGGACAUCUCCCGGUUGUGACUAAGUGUCGGUGUGUGCCCCGGUAUGAAGCCCCUAAACUAUGUUCACUCCAUACUAAGGUGGUCAUGGACGACUAACGCAGCUACCACGAUCUUCUCAUUGUCGGAUGAAGAAUCAUUCGAAAAACAAAGAACGUUGUAGAAAAAAACUCAUCGACGGAGUCCAUUAGUACCUUGCGAGUAAAGCGUCAAACAACUUGCGGGCGUCUUGGAGCCGGUAAGGAGCCUCGCGCCCCACCGAGACAAUGUAGCAGAGUUGGGCGGCGAUGACAGCUACAGCAGGAGAUGAGGCUGCUGGGAGGGUG
This 347-nucleotide long non-coding RNA is filed under the name Hordeum vulgare. Its description in RNAcentral is "long non-coding RNA (HVUL_LNC018180)". The record is from RNAcentral. Lineage: Eukaryota; Viridiplantae; Streptophyta; Magnoliopsida; Poales; Poaceae.